This 393-nucleotide ribosomal RNA is filed under the name uncultured bacterium. Its description in RNAcentral is "partial 16S ribosomal RNA". It matches the Rfam family "Bacterial small subunit ribosomal RNA", at positions 523 to 918 of the family's 1533-position model. The record is from RNAcentral.
AUACGGAGGAUCCGAGCGUUAUCCGGAUUUAUUGGGUUUAAAGGGAGCGUAGGCGGACGCUUAAGUCAGUUGUGAAAGUUUGCGGCUCAACCGUAAAAUUGCAGUUGAUACUGGGUGUCUUGAGUACAAUAGAGGCAGGCGGAAUUUGUGGGGGUGCGGGGGAAUGCUUAGAUAUCACGAAGAACUCCGAUUGCGAAGGCAGCCUGCUGGACUGUAACUGACGCUGAUGCUCGAAAGUGUGGGUAUCAAACAGGAUUAGAUACCCUGGUAGUCCACACAGUAAACGAUGAAUACUCGCUGUUUGCGAUAUACAGUAAGCGGCCAAGCGAAAGCGUUAAGUAUUCCACCUGGGGAGUACGCCGGCAACGGUGAAACUCAAAUGAAUUGACGGGG